This 1039-nucleotide unclassified non-coding RNA is filed under the name Octopus sinensis (East Asian common octopus). Its description in RNAcentral is "universal stress protein Sll1388-like, transcript variant X1". Lineage: Eukaryota; Metazoa; Mollusca; Cephalopoda; Octopoda; Octopodidae. The record is from RNAcentral.
UUAAACCUCAGAUGCGAGUUUUAAUGAUUUAUUGGUUGGUGGAAGGAGGUGUUGAAACUCACGAAACUAAUUCAAGUCAUUGUAUCGUAAGCGAUGAAGAUGAUACGGAAAGACCUAUAUUAUAAACACGGUGAUUGAAAGUAAUAAAAGAAGAAAAUAUGGAAUCAACUGAAGGAGCGGUGGUAGUUGUCAAUAUUAUUGAAAUACUUAAACAUUUUAGAGAGAGAGAGACCAGCUUUGGUAGCAUAGUAGUUGUAGAAUCGGAGAAUAUUACACCUUCUCUCCAUCUACGUUUGACAGCUUUGAGAUGAUUGAUUCCAAACGGAACCUAAAACAUACUUUGCAAAUAUAGAAAGAAAGCGAUGGAAAGGUAUGAUUUUUAAUUAGGAUAUUUAUUUAACAAGACACAACUACAAGAACAGCAACAAGAAAUAAGAACCAAAUCAAAAUCAAUUCCUAUUCUUGGCUUUCUGAAAUUGCAUUGCUUCACACGAAAGAAAAUGGCCGCAGCACCAGAAUCAGCAGCCAUGGAAUCGGACCAGAAUAGUCGCGUCAUAGCUAUUGCCAUUGACGAGAGGGAUGUAGCUGAAAGUGCAUUCCAAUGGUACCUUGAUAACCUACAACGGAAAGAUGACUUUGUGGUACUCAUCCAUAUACUGGAAUACCCUAGUAUUCUCAUGCCAACUGUUUCAGUGUUGCAACAGAUUCUCCAUGAGAUGGAUGAAAAGCUUGACACAGUAGAAGAAAGAUGCAAAGAACAUUUGCAAAAGCUCCAGAUGUCAACUUACAGCUGUUCAAGUUGAACAUAAACCAAAUCAGUCUCACCCAUUCCAAAGGGCUUGAAAAAGUUAUGGGCACAUCCUCUUUCUCUUGAGAAAACAUCAUGCUGCAACGUAAUUAUCAUCAACAUCAUCAUAGUCAUCAUCAUCACCAUCAUUAUUGUCAUCAUCAACAUUGUCAUCAUUACAUAGUCAUAUAUCGAUAAGAGGUAAAUUCCGAACUGGAGCUGGAAAAAGUGGACCACUAAUCGUUGACAUAG